GAUGAACGCUGGCGGCGUGCCUAAUACAUGCAAGCCGAGCGAACAGACGAGGAGCUUGCUCCUCUGACGUUAGCGGCGGACGGGUGAGUAACACGUGGAUAACCUACCUAUAAGACUGGGAUAACUUCGGGAAACCGGAGCUAAUACCGGAUAAUAUAUUGAACCGCAUGGUUCAAUAGUGAAAUACGGUUUUGCUGUCACUUAUAGAUGGAUCCGCGCCGCAUUAGCUAGUUGGUAAGGUAACGGCUUACCAAGGCAACGAUGCGUAGCCGACCUGAGAGGGUGAUCGGCCACACUGGAACUGAGACACGGUCCAGACUCCUACGGGAGGCAGCAGUAGGGAAUCUUCCGCAAUGGGCGAAAGCCUGACGGAGCAACGCCGCGUGAGUGAUGAAGGUCUUCGGAUCGUAAAACUCUGUUAUUAGGGAAGAACAAAUGUGUAAGUAACUAUGCACGUCUUGACGGUACCUAAUCAGAAAGCCACGGCUAACUACGUG
RNAcentral lists this ribosomal RNA (497 nucleotides) under uncultured bacterium. RNAcentral describes it as "partial 16S ribosomal RNA". It matches the Rfam family "Bacterial small subunit ribosomal RNA", at positions 28 to 507 of the family's 1533-position model. The record is from RNAcentral.